GAUGAGCCCGCGGCGGAUUAGCUUGUUGGUGGGGUAACGGCCUACCAAGGCAACGAUCCGUAGCUGGUCUGAGAGGACGAUCAGCCACACUGGGACUGAGACACGGCCCAGACUCCUACGGGAGGCAGCAGUGGGGAAUCUUGCGCAAUGGGCGAAAGCCUGACGCAGCGACGCCGCGUGCGGGAAGAAGGCCUUCGGGUUGUAAACCGCUUUCAGGAGGGACGAAGCCACUCGGGUUAAUAGCCCAGAGGGUGACGGUACCUCCAGAAGAAGCCCCGGCUAACUACGUGCCAGCAGCCGCGGUAAUACGUAGGGGGCAAGCGUUGUCCGGAUUUAUUGGGCGUAAAGAGCGUGUAGGCGGCCAUGCAGGUCCGUUGUGAAAACUCGAGGCUUAACCUCGAGACGCCGGUGGAAACCGUGUGGCUAGAGUCCGGAAGAGGAGAGUGGAAUUCCUGGUGUAGCGGUGAAAUGCGCAGAUAUCAGGAAGAACACCCGUGGCGAAGGCGGCUCUCUGGGACGGUACUGACGCUGAGACGCGAAAGCGUGGGGAGCGAACAGGAUUAGAUACCCUGGUAGUCCACGCCGUAAACGAUGGGUGCUAGGUGU
This 606-nucleotide ribosomal RNA is filed under the name uncultured soil bacterium. RNAcentral's name for it is "bacterial SSU rRNA". It matches the Rfam family "Bacterial small subunit ribosomal RNA", at positions 224 to 823 of the family's 1533-position model. The record is from RNAcentral.